GUCCAGUUGGAUUAAAAAAAUGUAUUGAUUGAAUCUUUCACAGAAGGAAUGUAUGCCGGUAAUACUUGUGAAAUUAACGUGGGAGGCAGUCGCCAAAGAUCUGGGCAUGCGUUAACAGCAGAGGCCUAGUGUAGCAGAAAAUGCCCCCACCCCAGCCAGUAUACCUCAGUUUGUUAGUUGCCCAGGUAACAGUUCUGGCUACAGUUCUGCUUGCUCCUGUCUCUUAGAAACAGCUGGUCACUAUGAUGCACAGCUGGUCACUGUGAUGCACAUUGUAGGAACCAAUUCCCAAUUGACAAGCAAUUCUGCCUCUGUACUUCCUGCUUGCUUAUCUCCUAUGAGCCCUAGACCACCAGAGAUCAGGGCCUGACAUUUUGAGAAUGAUCCCAGUCAGUACCUGUUGACAUAAGUCUGCUUCCAAAUCCUGGGUAUUGUUUUGGUGUUUCUGUUUGCCAUUGCAUCUGAUGUGUCAGCUGGGAAGGCUAACCAUGCUGACAUCUUUGGUUACCAGUCAUGGCCCUAGCAGACAGAGAAAGGACCUCUCCAGGUCCGAACAGGAAGGCAUGCCUUUGAUAUUUCGUGAGUCCCCUCAGAAGCCUGGAGGAGGAUUUCAGGUUCCCCACUCAAGUGGCUCACAUGGGAUCCCAAAGGGAGGAGGAUGCAAUCUGUCUGUCUGCCUGUCUGCCUCAUUCUGUUUCAGCAAUCCAGCCUUAGAUCCACUGAAGAAUUUACCUAGACAGCUCCUCCAAGGCUGAUUCUGAAGAGACAAAGCACUCAAAGCUCUGCUAUGUUCACUGUGGACACUGACCAGUCUGUGCACAGCUGAAGCCUGAGGACACAGUAAACAGGUUUGCUCCAUACCUGUUCCCCUUGAUUUUUAUGUCUUUUCAGGCUGUUUAGCUCAGUCCUUGCUUCCCUGCC
This 921-nucleotide long non-coding RNA is filed under the name Chinchilla lanigera (long-tailed chinchilla). RNAcentral's name for it is "lncRNA (ENSCLAG00000023618.1)". The record is from RNAcentral. Lineage: Eukaryota; Metazoa; Chordata; Mammalia; Rodentia; Chinchillidae.